This 1058-nucleotide long non-coding RNA is filed under the name Equus asinus (donkey). RNAcentral's name for it is "lncRNA (ENSEASG00005026836.1)". The record is from RNAcentral. Lineage: Eukaryota; Metazoa; Chordata; Mammalia; Perissodactyla; Equidae.
GAGAAAUGUCUGUUCAUGUCUCCAGCCCAUUUUUUGAUUGGGUUGUUUGAUGUUUUGUGGUUGAGUUGCGAGAGUUCUUUAUAUAUUAAGGAUAUUAAGCCUUUGUCAGAUAUAUGACUUGCAAAUAUUUUUUCCCAGUUAGUGGGUUGUUUUUUUUUUCAAUCCUGUUUUCAUUUGCCUUGAAGAAGCUCUUUAAUCUGAUGAAGUCCCAUUUGUUUAUUCUUUCUAUUGUUUCCCUUCUCUGAGAAGGCAUGGUGUCCAAAAAGAUCCUUUUAAUACUGAUGUCAAAGAGUGUACUGCCUACGUUUUCUUCCAGAAGCCUUAUGGUUUCAGGUCUCACCUUUAGGUCUUUAAUCCAUUUUGAGUUUAUUUUGGUGAAUGGUGAAAAAGAAUGGUCAAUUUUCCUUCUUUUACAUGUGGCUUUCCAGUUUUCCCAGCACCAUUUGUUGAAAAGACUUUCUUUUCUCCACUGUAUGCCCUCAGCUCCUUUGUCAAAGAUAAGCUGUCCAUAGAUGUGUGGUUUUAUUUCUGGGCUUUCAAUUUUGUUCCAUUGAUCUGUGCACCUGUUUUUGUACCAGUACCAUGCCUUGGCCUUCUCCCGGCCCACAGGGUGGCCAGUGUUUCUGCGGAGCAGGGGCGACGAUGCCUCUGGAUGCCAGGGUUUGUAGAGUGCAGCCGGCCUUCUCCCCUCAGGCGAUGAGUUCGACUCGAGCCUCCACAACUAGUGUCCCUGCGCAGAGAAGGCUGAGUAGCGCAGCACUUGUGCGAGCAGGCUCUUAGGCUGGUGCCCCAGAAGGUGUGAGCCCCACGCCUCUUUGGCUGUUUUCCCAGACUCGGGAGAGCAUCCUGGGCUGAGGGCCUCCCCGAUCGGGGAGACGCGGCCCGCUGGCUCAGGAAAGCCAGGCCGGCGCUUUCACGAGACACCGCCUGAGGUCUCCUGGCAGAUUGCUCUUCCCAUCUGCCGUUGUCACACUGAGGAUGUGGAGGUCCCUGGGCUGGGACUGGACACUGGAUUCCAAGGGUCGAGUGGGGAUCUGCUUAGUGUGACUGUCCCUGUG